GUCAAAAAAAAGAAGGCUCACGACGGAGACCUAGGCUCUCAGAGACGAUGAAGGGCGCGAUACCUGCGAAAAGCUUUGGGGAGCAGGAAGAAUGCAUUGAUCCAAAGAUUCCCGAUAUAGGGCAACCUCGAGAACUAUCGAUCAAUUCAUAAAUCGAUUAGAGGCAACCUGGUGAACUGAAACAUCUCAUUAGCCAGAGGAAAAGAAAGCAAAAGCGAUUCCCGUAGUAGCGGCGAGCGAACUGGGACCAGCCUAAACCAAUUUUAUUGGGGUUGUGGGAAGACGUUGAACAGCUUUGGUUCGCUUUCUCGGCGAAGUUCAGCGAUUCGCUCGCGCAAGCGCAGCGAACUGAAAGAAGAACCGAAGCGGAGAAGAAGCUUGGCGCUUCGGUCGCGCUUCGCUUUGCGAAUGCGCACCGAACCGAAGAACUUAAUAUUAUAUAUUAAUAAUAUAAUAAAAGACGAAGCAGCUGAAUCCUGCACCAUAGAUGGUGAAAGUCCAGUAGUCAUAUUAUUAAACUUCUUUCUUAUAUUAAUAAAUCUUUAUUUAUAAAGAUUUAUAAGAAUGUCUAUCCCGAGUAGCAUGGGGCACGUGGAAUCCCGUGUGAAUCUGCGAGGACCACCUCGUAAGGCUAAACACUCCUGAGAGACCGAUAGCGAAGUAGUACAGCGAUGGAACGGUGAAAAGAACCCCUGUAAGGGAGUGAAAUAGAACAUGAAAUCGUGAGCUGACAAGCAGUGGGAGGAUUUGAUUAAAGAAUCUGACCUCGUGCCUGUUGAAGAAUGAGCCGGCGACUUAUAGGAAGUGGCAGGUUAAAGAGUAAGAUCUGGAGCCUAAGCGAAAGCGAGUCUGAAAAGGGCAUUAAGUCACUUCUUAUGGACCCGAACCUGGAUGAUCUAACCAUGAGCAAGCUGAAGCUUAGGUAACACUUAGUGGAGGGCUGAACGGACCGAUGUUGAAAAAUCGGCCGAUGACUUGUGGUUAGCGGAGAAAUUCCAAUCGAAUUCAGAGCUAGCUGGUUCUCCCCGAAAUGCGUUGAGGCGCAGCGGCAAUGAUGGGCAAUCUAAGGGUAGAGCGACUGUUUCGGUGCGGGCUGCGAAAGCGGUACCAAGUCGUGGCAAACUCCGAAUAUUAGAUUUGCUUUCCAUAUGCCAGUGAGACAGUGGGGGAUAAGCUUCAUUGUCAAGAGGGAAACAGCCCAGAUCAUCAGCUAAGGCCCCUAAAUGGCUCCUAAGUGGAAAAGGAUGUGAGAAUGCUGAAACAACCAGGAAAUUUGCUUAGAAGCAGCCAUUUUUUAAAGAGUGCGUAAUAGCUCACUGGUAAAGCGUUUUUGCGCCGACAAUGGCCGGGACUAAGGAGCCUGCCGAAGCUAUGAGAUUUGUUCUUUUUUUUAAAAAAGUAACGAAUCGGUAGGGGAGCGUUCUGCACUGGGUGAAGCUUCAACGUAAGUUUGAGUGGACGGUGCGGAAGUGAGAAUGUCGGCUUGAGUAACGAAAACAUUGGUGAGAAUCCAAUGCCCCGAAAACCUAAGGGUUCCUCUACAAGGUUCGUCCAUGGAGGGUGAGUCAGGACCUAAGGCGAGGCCGACCGGCGUAGUCGAUGGCAAACAGGUUGAUAUUCCUGUACUUUUUUGAAGGGGAACCGAGGGACGAAGUCGGCUAAAUUGAGUCUGUGAAUGGAAUGCAGUGGAAACGUUCGAGUGCUCUUAGCUGCGAAGCCAAGAGCAAACAGAUCGAAGAAAAACGAAUCUGUAACAAAGGCGUGAUCCCACUCUCUUGAACUUGUUCGAGUUGAGUGUCAAUGAUGUCAUGCUUCCAAGAAAAGCUCGUACACCAUCUUGCCGCUUGCGGUGAGAUUAAACCUUCAAAAAACCUGUACCUGAAACCGACACAGGUAGGUUGGUAGAGAAUACUAAGGGGCGCAAGAGAACUCUCUCUAAGGAACUCGGCAAAUUGGCCCCGUAACUUCGGGAGAAGGGGCGCCCUUGAUCAAAUUAAGGGCCACAGUAACAAGACUCAGGCAACUGUUUACCAAAAACACAGGUCUCCGCAAAGUCGUAAGACAAUAUAUGGGGGCUGACGCCUGCCCAGUGCCGGAAGGUGAAGGAAGUUGGUUAUUUGGUUUUAUAAUCAGAGAAGCUGACAACCGAAGCCCCGGUGAACGGCAGCUGUAACUAUGACAGUUCUAAGGUAGCGAAAUUCAUUGUCGAGUAAGUUUCGACCUGCACGAAAGGCGUAAUGAUCUGAGUACUGUCUCAGAGAGAGACUUGGUGAAAUAGACUUAUCCGUGAAGAUGCGGAUUAACAACAUUUGGACAGAAAGACCCUAUGAAGCUUGACUGUAUCCUGGAAUUGGGUUCGGGCUUUUCUUGCGCAGUCUAGGUGGGAGGCAUUGAAGAUUUCUUUCCGGAGAAAUUGGAGCCAUCAGUGAGAGACCACUCUGGAAAGGCUAGAAUCCUAAGAGUGAUCCCUAAUCGGGACAUUUGACGUUUUCAGGAAGGCAGUUUUUUUGGGGCGAAAGUCCUCCUAAAAGGUAACGGAGGCGCGCAAAGGUUUCCUCAGUCUGGACGGAAAUCAGACGUUACAGAGUGUAAAGGCAAAAGGAAGCUUGACUGCAAGACCUACAAGUCGAGCAGGGGCGAAAGCCGGCCUUAGUGAUCCGACGGUGUCCGUGUGGAAGGGCCGUCGCUCAACGGAUAAAAGUUACUCUAGGGAUAACAGGCUGAUCUUCUCCAAGAGUUCACAUCGACGAGAAGGUUUGGCACCUCGAUGUCGGCUCAUCACAUCCUGGGGCUGUAGUAGGUCCCAAGGGUUGGGCUGUUCGCCCAUUAAAGUGGUACGUGAGCUGGGUUCAAAACGUCGUAAGACAGUUUGGUCCAUAUCCGAUGUUGUCGUUAGAGCGCUGAGGGGAUCCUUAAAUAGUACGAGAGGAUUUUUAAGGUCGUGCCUAUGGUGUAUCAGUUCUCUCUCCAGAGGGAAACGCUGAGUAGCUACGCACGGUUUAGAUAACCGCUGAAAGCAUCUAAGUGGGAAGCUUUCCUCAAGAUGAGCGCUCUCCAUUAUGCCACAGCUAGACAAGCUGAUGAUAGGUAUCAGGUGAAAGGUCUGUAAGGAUUUGAGCCGAGAUAUACUAAAGGCCAAUUGAUUUUGACCA
RNAcentral lists this ribosomal RNA (3152 nucleotides) under Lacunastrum gracillimum. RNAcentral's name for it is "LSU rRNA". It matches the Rfam family "Bacterial large subunit ribosomal RNA". Lineage: Eukaryota; Viridiplantae; Chlorophyta; Chlorophyceae; Sphaeropleales; Hydrodictyaceae. The record is from RNAcentral.